RNAcentral lists this ribosomal RNA (505 nucleotides) under uncultured bacterium. RNAcentral describes it as "partial 16S ribosomal RNA". It matches the Rfam family "Bacterial small subunit ribosomal RNA", at positions 28 to 507 of the family's 1533-position model. The record is from RNAcentral.
GACGAACGCUGGCGGCGUGCCUAAUACAUGCAAGUCGAACGCACAGUUUAUACCGUAGCUUGCUACACCAUAGACUGUGAGUUGCGAACGGGUGAGUAACGCGUAGGUAACCUGCCUGGUAGCGGGGGAUAACUAUUGGAAACGAUAGCUAAUACCGCAUAAUAUUAAUUAUUGCAUGAUAAUUAAUUGAAAGGUGCAAUUGCACCACUACCAGAUGGACCUGCGUUGUAUUAGCUAGUAGGUGAGGUAACGGCUCACCUAGGCGACGAUACAUAGCCGACCUGAGAGGGUGAUCGGCCACACUGGGACUGAGACACGGCCCAGACUCCUACGGGAGGCAGCAGUAGGGAAUCUUCGGCAAUGGACGAAAGUCUGACCGAGCAACGCCGCGUGAGUGAAGAAGGGUGUCGGAUCGUAAAGCUCUGUUGUAAGAGAAGAACGGGUGUGAGAGUGGAAAGUUCACACUGUGACGGUAGCUUACCAGAAAGGGACGGCUAACUACGUG